UGGGGAAUAUUGCGCAAUGGGCGAAAGCCUGACGCAGCAACGCCGUGUGAGGGAUGAAGGCUUUCGGGUCGUAAACCUCUGUCGGAAGGGAAGAACGGGCAUUGGUCUAAUAGGCCUUUGUUUUGACGGUACCUUUAGAGGAAGCACCGGCUAACUCCGUGCCAGCAGCCGCGGUAAUACGGAGGGUGCAAGCGUUAUUCGGAAUUACUGGGCGUAAAGCGCACGUAGGCGGCUUCGUAAGUCAGGGGUGAAAUCCCACGGCUCAACCGUGGAACUGCCUUUGAAACUGCAAAGCUUGAAUCCUGGAGAGGGUGGCGGAAUUCCUGGUGUAGGAGUGAAAUCCGUAGAUAUCAGGAGGAACACCGGUGGCGAAGGCGGCCACCUGGACAGGUAUUGACGCUGAGGUGCGAUAGUGUGGGGAGCAAACA
RNAcentral lists this ribosomal RNA (428 nucleotides) under uncultured prokaryote. Its description in RNAcentral is "bacterial SSU rRNA". It matches the Rfam family "Bacterial small subunit ribosomal RNA", at positions 355 to 774 of the family's 1533-position model. The record is from RNAcentral.